This is a long non-coding RNA of Strongylocentrotus purpuratus (purple sea urchin), 631 nucleotides long. RefSeq lists it as uncharacterized. NCBI's taxonomy places the organism in Eukaryota, Metazoa, Echinodermata, Echinoidea, Camarodonta, Strongylocentrotidae. The transcript is spliced from 3 exons. The record is from RefSeq and is a predicted model, not a curated record.
AUCCUCAAUCAAAGAGCUGGUUGUAGAUCAUGAAUUCCUAAAUGGUCUACAGAGGUUUAAUGAUGGUGACAUUAAUGUCACAGUUGAGGGCCUAUUCCCGAGCUUGAAUCAACUGACUUUUAACACUCUUCAAACUGUCUCACAAGGAGUUGUUGAACGGUUGGCACAUUCCAGCCUAGCAGUGUUGUCUAUUGAGCAUGGUGAGGGAGGGAGGAAAUUAGUUCCUCUCAUUGGAGAACCUGCUUCGUUGGGGCUACUUUUCUCUAGUUCAUUCCCACAACUCACAUGUCUGACCUUUCGAGAGCUAGUAAUGGGCAACAUACGCAGUGAAGCAAUACUACGUAAUCUAAUGAACCACCUGCAUUUGAAAUCAAUGCGUAUCAUCAAAUGUUUUACGGAUGACGAAUUGGACCCCCUGGCUAAACAAAUAACUGCUGUGAAAAGGAUGAAAAUAACUCUUCAACAUGACACGGAACAAGAGAGCAUAGAAUUAAGUGAUGUGGAUUCCUUAGAUACAGUGGAUGCACUUUGCCAUCGAACAUGUGUUCGUUGUUUGACAGUACGCAAAAUGGGCGUAAAAAGUGCAAGUGACGAAUGUUUUCCAGACCUUCAUGGCAGAGAGGUGGAUUCA